Molecule: unclassified non-coding RNA, 377 nt
Filed under: fungal sp.
Lineage: Eukaryota; Fungi
Description: partial internal transcribed spacer region
Rfam family: Eukaryotic small subunit ribosomal RNA (bases 1-46)
Source: RNAcentral
AAGUCGUAACAAGGUUUCCGUAGGUGAACCUGCGGAAGGAUCAUUAACACGUAUCCAACCUUAAAACCCCCCGUGCAUAUUGACGCUGCUCUCCUCGUCUCUAGAAGCAAUCUCUGGUAAAUCACGCACAAAGAUAGUUUGAUUCAGAGACCUCUUCAAUGACGCGUUUGGAUAGAUGCGGCUACGUAAGUGGACCUGGUUUCCGAAAGGAUAACUGAAUUUAAAAAAACAGGUCAUUGCUCUAACACGGGGCAAUGGACAGGUCUCUGGGGCUUCGGCUCCCCUAAAUAUUUAACCACAGCAGGUGAAUUCUGGGCUCUGCUAACACAGAACCCCUUAAAAACGAACAACUGUUAACAAUGGAUAUCUUGGUUCUC